Molecule: long non-coding RNA, 288 nt
Organism: Myripristis murdjan (pinecone soldierfish)
Lineage: Eukaryota; Metazoa; Chordata; Actinopteri; Holocentriformes; Holocentridae
Exons: 3
Source: RefSeq, a predicted model, not a curated record
UGUGGGGAAGGUUAAGCUCCACAGUCGGGCAUGGGCACAGGCAAUGUAAUUGCAUAAACAUCGUAGAAGAUAUCCAAGCUACUGGGCAAUUCAAUUUUCCUUGCUCUGGAAAUAGGUGAUCGUGGACACAUCUCGGCUUCUUUGUCCUGGACCCCUGAGGUUCCCCGGUGAAGCAACAUGAAGAGGCAGGGGGUCCACAUCCAGGGCCCCUGAUGCCUCCCUCUGCCCCUCAUGGAGGGAGAAGGCUGUCUGGGAGUCCAGGUGGGCCUGUGGGGGCCUGGAGAAAGG